Molecule: ribosomal RNA, 492 nt
Filed under: uncultured bacterium
Lineage: Bacteria
Description: partial 16S ribosomal RNA
Rfam family: Bacterial small subunit ribosomal RNA
Source: RNAcentral
AGUGAACGCUGGCGGCAGGCCUAACACAUGCAAGUCGAGCGGAAGCACGGUGAGAGCUCGCUCUUACGGGUGGCGACGGGCGGGUGAGUGAUACGUACAUCGGCAUCUACUUUGUCUUGGGUGAUAACGUGGGAACUCUUACGCUAAUCGCGCAUACGACCAACGGGUGGGAUCAUGGGAUCUUCGGACCUUUCGCGAUUCUAUGAGCCGAUGUCGGAUUAGCUAGUUGGCGGGGUAAGGGCCUACCAAGGCGACGAUCCGUAGCUGGUCUGAGAGGAUGAUCAGCCACACUGGAACUGAGACACGGUCCAGACUCCUACGGGAGGCAGCAGUGGGGAAUAUUGGACAAUGGGCGAAAGCCUGAUCCAGCAAUGCCGCGUGAGUGAAGAAGGUCUUCGGGUUGUAAAGCUCUUUUAUUGGGGAAGAAGAGAAGUAGGUUAAUACCUCGCUGUUUUGACGGUACCUAAAGAAUAAGCACCGGCUAACUUCGUG